UGAGUCUAAUCUCCCCUAGAACCCUUUGAUUAUGCUAAUUUUAAAGUGUUUUGGGGGGAUAGGAGUCAGU
Molecule: non-coding RNA, 70 nt
Organism: Cordylochernes scorpioides
Lineage: Eukaryota; Metazoa; Arthropoda; Arachnida; Pseudoscorpiones; Chernetidae
Source: the annotation of a GenBank genome assembly